GUUUUAAUAGUUUAAGUAAAAUAUUAAAUUGCAAAUUUAAAGAUAAUUAAAAAUUUUAAGAUU
RNAcentral lists this transfer RNA (63 nucleotides) under Dolichovespula lama. RNAcentral's name for it is "tRNA-Cys". The record is from RNAcentral. Lineage: Eukaryota; Metazoa; Arthropoda; Insecta; Hymenoptera; Vespidae.